UGGGAAUUAGCCAAGAGGAAAGGCAUUAGACUUUGAAUCUAACAUCGGUGGUUCGAAUCCACCAUUCUCAGCCA
RNAcentral lists this transfer RNA (74 nucleotides) under compost metagenome. RNAcentral describes it as "tRNA-Gln". It matches the Rfam family "tRNA". Rfam says of the family: Transfer RNA (tRNA) molecules are approximately 80 nucleotides in length. The record is from RNAcentral.